Molecule: ribosomal RNA, 253 nt
Filed under: uncultured bacterium
Lineage: Bacteria
Description: partial 16S ribosomal RNA
Rfam family: Bacterial small subunit ribosomal RNA
Source: RNAcentral
UACGUAGGGUGCAAGCGUUGUCCGGAAUUAUUGGGCGUAAAGAGCUCGUAGGUGGCCUGUCGCGUCGGCUGUGAAAACUCGAGGCUCAACCUCGAGACGUCGGUUGAAACCGUUUGGCUAGAGUCCGGAAGAGGAGAGUGGAAUUCCCGGUGUAGCGGUGAAAUGCGCAGAUAUCGGGAAGAACCCCCGUGGCGAAGGCGGCUCUCUGGGACGGUACUGACGCUGAGACGCGAAAGCGUGGGGAGCGAGCAGG